Podarcis lilfordi (Lilford's wall lizard) is the source of this 80-nucleotide non-coding RNA. Lineage: Eukaryota; Metazoa; Chordata; Lepidosauria; Squamata; Lacertidae. The record is from the annotation of a GenBank genome assembly.
GAGUGAGUUUGAGGAAGGACUCAUGGUAGAGCAUCUGCUUUGCAUCCAGAAGGUCCUGGGUUCAAUCCCCAGCAUCUCCA